CAGUAGGGAAUCUUCCACAAUGGACGAAAGUCUGAUGGAGCAACGCCGCGUGAGUGAAGAAGGGUUUCGGCUCGUAAAACUCUGUUGUUAAAGAAGAACAUAUCUGAGAGUAACUGUUCAGGUAUUGACGGUAUUUAACCAGAAAGCCACGGCUAACUACGUGUCAG
Molecule: ribosomal RNA, 167 nt
Filed under: uncultured bacterium
Lineage: Bacteria
Description: partial 16S ribosomal RNA
Rfam family: Bacterial small subunit ribosomal RNA
Source: RNAcentral